GUUUGUUCAUGGUUAAGCUACACUUUCUUCAGAAAAUGUAAAAUCUAGUUUUGUUUCAAAGUCUGGCUGUAGAAAUAUUGCUGUAUUUUCCCUAGACAGGGGAAAGACCUUUAAAACACAGCCAACACAUCUAUCAAAUGCACAGAUCCAGCUGAACCAUCAUAAUGAAUGUCAUAAGCAGGACAACUCUAGAAGCUCAGAAAUACAGUAUUUAUAGCUGCAGCUUUAAAAAAAAAAAAAAAAAAAAACAUUUAAUAAACCCCACAUGUGCUUGGGGGAAAUCACUGAAUAUCAGAGAAAUACCAAAACCUUGAAAGUUUCCAUUGCUUUCAGUGUUGGCAGUCUUUCUCUGUAGCCUACGGGCAUGUUGCCAUAUGUGGAGAUUAAAGGAAAACUGAGCCAGGUUAGAUAAAUGUGCUAUCAAAGGAAAAGUUACAAUCAAAUGAAGAAGAAAACUUGGCAAUAUUCUGUGUUUUCUGACGUUAUUUAUUCAAGUCAGUAAUUUGGGUCCCUCUGAGUUUAUAUUAGGCUGGGCCCCUACACAUGAAAUGGAAUUCACAAACUUUGCUUCCAUAAUGUGAUAUUUCAGGGCAAGUCAUGAUUUUAUCCAUCGUUAAUUGAUUGGACUGGAAAAAAGUGGGAAAAGUACAUAUCAAAAUAAAGGUAGUUGAAAAACAUGAGAUAUUUGUAAUCAUUCGAAAGGGAAAUUUGUUUUUAAAAGCAUAGAUAGCUAUUUAAUUUGUUGGAGGUGUGGAGGGUGGUGUUUGGAGAGGAGUGACUGAAACAUGUUUCUCUGGCCAUUAUGAUUUUUUGCAGGAUGAUGCUUAUGUAUAAAGGCAGCCUAAACUCAGAUUUUGGCUUUUUUUAUGUUCAGUAUGCCCAAUAAAACAAAAGGCUGUUUUUAAGAACUCACAGUAAUAAGCAGGUCUUGUUCAAUCUACUUUUUAGAUGACAACAUGAGAAAUAAAGAAGAAUUUGAAGAUACCCCUUUUUCAUUACCUGUAUGUUACAUUUAAUAGUCUAAGGUGAGCAUCAUAUUAC
Molecule: long non-coding RNA, 1041 nt
Organism: Cyprinus carpio carpio
Lineage: Eukaryota; Metazoa; Chordata; Actinopteri; Cypriniformes; Cyprinidae
Source: Ensembl